RNAcentral lists this ribosomal RNA (660 nucleotides) under uncultured bacterium. Its description in RNAcentral is "bacterial SSU rRNA". It matches the Rfam family "Bacterial small subunit ribosomal RNA", at positions 76 to 713 of the family's 1533-position model. The record is from RNAcentral.
CUCUUCGGAGACUUAGUAGAGUGGCGCACGGGUGAGUAACGCGUAAGUAAUCUACCCUCGCAUUCGGAAUAACCCACCGAAAGGUGUGCUAAUACCGGAUACGUCUGAUUUAAUAUCUUUAUAUCAGAGAAAGAUGGCCUCUGAUUCAAGCUGUUGUGCGGGGAGGAGCUUGCGUACCAUUAGCUAGUUGGUAGGGUAACGGCCUACCAAGGCAACGAUGGUUAGCGGGUCUGAGAGGAUGAUCCGCCACACUGGAACUGGAACACGGACCAGACUCCUACGGGAGGCAGCAGUGAGGAAUAUUGCGCAAUGGGGGCAACCCUGACGCAGCGACGCCGCGUGGAUGAUGAAGGCCUUCGGGUUGUAAAAUCCUGUCAGAUGGGAAGAAGUGCACUGUAGUUAAUAGCAUCAGUGUUUGACGGUACCAUCAAAGGAAGCACCGGCUAACUCCGUGCCAGCAGCCGCGGUAAUACGGAGGGUGCAAGCGUUGUUCGGAAUUACUGGGCGUAAAGCGCGCGUAGGCGGCAUGCUAAGUCAGCUGUGAAAGCCCAUGGCUCAACCAUGGAGGUGCAUUUGAAACUGGCAUGCUUGAGUAUCGGAGGGGGUAGUGGAAUUCCCGGUGUAGAGGUGAAAUUCGUAGAUAUCGGGAGGAAUACCGGU